RNAcentral lists this ribosomal RNA (449 nucleotides) under uncultured bacterium. RNAcentral's name for it is "partial 16S ribosomal RNA". It matches the Rfam family "Bacterial small subunit ribosomal RNA", at positions 354 to 796 of the family's 1533-position model. The record is from RNAcentral.
GUCGAGAAUCUUUCACAAUGGGGGCAACCCUGAUGGAGCGACGCCGCGUGGAGGAUAAGGUCUUCGGAUUGUAAACUCCUGUCAUGCGUGAACAAGGUUGCUUGGUUAAUACCUGGGCAAAUUGAUGGUAACGCAAGAGGAAGAGACGGCUAACUCUGUGCCAGCAGCCGCGGUAAUACAGAGGUCUCAAGCGUUGUUCGGAAUCACUGGGCGUAAAGGGUGCGUAGGUGGCGUGGUAAGUCAGAUGUGAAAGCCCGGGGCUCAACCUAGGAACUGCAUCCGAUACUGCCAUGCUAGAGUACUGGAGAGGUGACUAGAAUUCUCGGUGUAGCAGUGAAAUGCGUAGAUAUCGAGAGGAAUACCAAAGGCGUAGGCAGGUCACUGGACAGUUACUGACACUGAGGCACGAAGGCCAGGGGAGCGAACGGGAUUAGAAACCCCUGUAGUCC